RNAcentral lists this small RNA (135 nucleotides) under Manihot esculenta (cassava). RNAcentral describes it as "precursor microRNA miR396c". The record is from RNAcentral. Lineage: Eukaryota; Viridiplantae; Streptophyta; Magnoliopsida; Malpighiales; Euphorbiaceae.
UCGUAUUCUUCCACAGCUUUCUUGAACUGCAUCUCUACAACGAAGCUUGUGGUUAUUGCAUGCCACGGCUCGCCAAUUAAGCGGCUUCUUGUUUUCUUGUUUUGUUGCGGUUCAAUAAAGCUGUGGGAAGAUACU